RNAcentral lists this ribosomal RNA (2108 nucleotides) under Escherichia coli. RNAcentral describes it as "partial 23S ribosomal RNA". It matches the Rfam family "Bacterial large subunit ribosomal RNA", at positions 1 to 2136 of the family's 2925-position model. The record is from RNAcentral. Lineage: Bacteria; Pseudomonadati; Pseudomonadota; Gammaproteobacteria; Enterobacterales; Enterobacteriaceae.
GUUAAGCGACUAAGCGUACACGGUGGAUGCCCUGGCAGUCAGAGGCGAUGAAGGACGUGCUAAUCUGCGAUAAGCGUCGGUAAGGUGAUAUGAACCGUUAUAACCGGCGAUUUCCGAAUGGGGAAACCCAGUGUGAUUCGUCACACUAUCAUUAACUGAAUCCAUAGGUUAAUGAGGCGAACCGGGGGAACUGAAACAUCUAAGUACCCCGAGGAAAAGAAAUCAACCGAGAUUCCCCCAGUAGCGGCGAGCGAACGGGGAGCAGCCCAGAGCCUGAAUCAGUGUGUGUGUUAGUGGAAGCGUCUGGAAAGGCGCGCGAUACAGGGUGACAGCCCCGUACACAAAAAUGCACAUGCUGUGAGCUCGAUGAGUAGGGCGGGACACGUGGUAUCCUGUCUGAAUAUGGGGGGACCAUCCUCCAAGGCUAAAUACUCCUGACUGACCGAUAGUGAACCAGUACCGUGAGGGAAAGGCGAAAAGAACCCCGGCGAGGGGAGUGAAAAAGAACCUGAAACCGUGUACGUACAAGCAGUGGGAGCACGCUUAGGCGUGUGACUGCGUACCUUUUGUAUAAUGGGUCAGCGACUUAUAUUCUGUAGCAAGGUUAACCGAAUAGGGGAGCCGAAGGGAAACCGAGUCUUAACUGGGCGUUAAGUUGCAGGGUAUAGACCCGAAACCCGGUGAUCUAGCCAUGGGCAGGUUGAAGGUUGGGUAACACUAACUGGAGGACCGAACCGACUAAUGUUGAAAAAUUAGCGGAUGACUUGUGGCUGGGGGUGAAAGGCCAAUCAAACCGGGAGAUAGCUGGUUCUCCCCGAAAGCUAUUUAGGUAGCGCCUCGUGAAUUCAUCUCCGGGGGUAGAGCACUGUUUCGGCAAGGGGGUCAUCCCGACUUACCAACCCGAUGCAAACUGCGAAUACCGGAGAAUGUUAUCACGGGAGACACACGGCGGGUGCUAACGUCCGUCGUGAAGAGGGAAACAACCCAGACCGCCAGCUAAGGUCCCAAAGUCAUGGUUAAGUGGGAAACGAUGUGGGAAGGCCCAGACAGCCAGGAUGUUGGCUUAGAAGCAGCCAUCAUUUAAAGAAAGCGUAAUAGCUCACUGGUCGAGUCGGCCUGCGCGGAAGAUGUAACGGGGCUAAACCAUGCACCGAAGCUGCGGCAGCGACACUGUGUGUUGUUGGGUAGGGGAGCGUUCUGUAAGCCUGUGAAGGUGUACUGUGAGGUAUGCUGGAGGUAUCAGAAGUGCGAAUGCUGACAUAAGUAACGAUAAAGCGGGUGAAAAGCCCGCUCGCCGGAAGACCAAGGGUUCCUGUCCAACGUUAAUCGGGGCAGGGUGAGUCGACCCCUAAGGCGAGGCCGAAAGGCGUAGUCGAUGGGAAACAGGUUAAUAUUCCUGUACUUGGUGUUACUGCGAAGGGGGGACGGAGAAGGCUAUGUUGGCCGGGCGACGGUUGUCCCGGUUUAAGCGUGUAGGCUGGUUUUCCAGGCAAAUCCGGAAAAUCAAGGCUGAGGCGUGAUGACGAGGCACUACGGUGCUGAAGCAACAAAUGCCCUGCUUCCAGGAAAAGCCUCUAAGCAUCAGGUAACAUCAAAUCGUACCCCAAACCGACACAGGUGGUCAGGUAGAGAAUACCAAGGCGCUUGAGAGAACUCGGGUGAAGGAACUAGGCAAAAUGGUGCCGUAACUUCGGGAGAAGGCACGCUGAUAUGUAGGUGAAGUCCCUCGCGGAUGGAGCUGAAAUCAGUCGAAGAUACCAGCUGGCUGCAACUGUUUAUUAAAAACACAGCACUGUGCAAACACGAAAGUGGACGUAUACGGUGUGACGCCUGCCCGGUGCCGGAAGGUUAAUUGAUGGGGUCAGCGCAAGCGAAGCUCUUGAUCGAAGCCCCGGUAAACGGCGGCCGUAACUAUAACGGUCCUAAGGUAGCGAAAUUCCUUGUCGGGUAAGUUCCGACCUGCACGAAUGGCGUAAUGAUGGCCAGGCUGUCUCCACCCGAGACUCAGUGAAAUUGAACUCGCUGUGAAGAUGCAGUGUACCCGCGGCAAGACGGAAAGACCCCGUGAACCUUUACUAUAGCUUGACACUGAACAUUGAGCCUUGAUG